This 21-nucleotide non-coding RNA is filed under the name Caenorhabditis elegans. The record is from RNAcentral. Lineage: Eukaryota; Metazoa; Nematoda; Chromadorea; Rhabditida; Rhabditidae.
UGUCUUCCGGAAAGUUAAUUC